CUGGGUUACGGUGAUAUGUACCCGGAGACGUGGUCGGGAAUGCUGGUGGGAGCGCUCUGUGCCUUGGCUGGUGUGCUGACCAUUGCUAUGCCUGUACCUGUCAUUGUCAACAAC
Non-coding RNA from Poecilia formosa (Amazon molly), 114 nucleotides. The record is from Rfam. NCBI's taxonomy places the organism in Eukaryota, Metazoa, Chordata, Actinopteri, Cyprinodontiformes, Poeciliidae.